GACGAACGCUGGCGGCGUGCUUAACACAUGCAAGUCGAACGGAAGGGCCCUGCUUUUGUGGGGUGCUCGAGUGGCGAACGGGUGAGUAACACGUGAGUAACCUGCCCUUGACUUUGGGAUAACUUCAGGAAACUGGGGCUAAUACCGGAUAGGAGCUCCUGCUGCAUGGUGGGGGUUGGAAAGUUUCGGCGGUUGGGGAUGGACUCGCGGCUUAUCAGCUUGUUGGUGGGGUAGUGGCUUACCAAGGCUUUGACGGGUAGCCGGCCUGAGAGGGUGACCGGCCACAUUGGGACUGAGAUACGGCCCAGACUCCUACGGGAGGCAGCAGUGGGGAAUAUUGCACAAUGGGCGGAAGCCUGAUGCAGCAACGCCGCGUGCGGGAUGACGGCCUUCGGGUUGUAAACCGCUUUCGCCUGUGACGAAGCGUGAGUGACGGUAAUGGGUAAAGAAGCACCGGCUAACUACG
Molecule: ribosomal RNA, 466 nt
Filed under: uncultured bacterium
Lineage: Bacteria
Description: partial 16S ribosomal RNA
Rfam family: Bacterial small subunit ribosomal RNA
Source: RNAcentral